ACGGAGGGUGCAAGCGUUGUUCGGAAUUACUGGGCGUAAAGGGCGCGUAGGUGGUUGUGUAAGUCAGAUGUGAAAUCCUUAGGCUUAACCUGAGAACUGCAUCUGAUACUGCAUGACUCGAGUACAGCAGAGGGAAACGGAAUUCCUGGUGUAGGAGUGAAAUUCGGUAAUCCCUGGGGGAACACCGGUGGCGAAGGCGGUUUCCCAGGCUGAUUCUGACAGUGAGGCGCGAAAGCUUGGGGAGCAAACAG
Molecule: ribosomal RNA, 251 nt
Filed under: uncultured prokaryote
Description: partial 16S rRNA
Rfam family: Bacterial small subunit ribosomal RNA
Source: RNAcentral